This 73-nucleotide transfer RNA is filed under the name Stereum hirsutum FP-91666 SS1. RNAcentral's name for it is "tRNA-Ile (TAT) (tRNA-Ile-TAT-2-1)". The record is from RNAcentral. Lineage: Eukaryota; Fungi; Basidiomycota; Agaricomycetes; Russulales; Stereaceae.
GGCUCGGUAGCGCAGCGGUUCAGCGUACCUGUUGUAUUAACAGGAGACCCCAGUUCGACUCUGGGCCGAGUCU